This is a long non-coding RNA of Rosa rugosa (rugosa rose), 1063 nucleotides long. RefSeq lists it as uncharacterized. Lineage: Eukaryota; Viridiplantae; Streptophyta; Magnoliopsida; Rosales; Rosaceae. The transcript is spliced from 3 exons. The record is from RefSeq and is a predicted model, not a curated record.
CUUUCCUCGGGCCGAAAAUACUCUUUGCCUAAGUUUCUGACUCAACCUGACCUGAGAACCAGACCCGGCUGGUCCUCAGUUCUCUGGCUACCACUAGUCGGAGAAGGACGGCCUCAACCUCCUCUUUCAAUGCUUGUCCCUUUCUAGCUCAAGUUCGUAACUUGUAGAGAGAAAUGAGGCCAAGAAGCCAGCAAAAUCGCACGUCGUUAACCCAGUUCGAUCUCCGAUAUCCAGCCGUUUCAUGUGACACUAACACUUGGGUCUUGAAGCCCUUAUCAUGCUCGUUCCAACCACAUAAGUCUUAGUCGUCGAUUUAAGCUGAGGAGGGAGAAUCAAAGCAUGAAGGUAUUGGUAUAGGUUACGCCCCCCGAUGUGGGGUUGGAGUGUCAGCGCGUGAGUCCCACUCACAACCACUUUUUGCGACGAGUGUGGGCGCAUGAGGCCAUCUCAUGCCGUAUAAUUUAGCUUUUGAGAGAGAGGGGAUGGGCCAGUGGUCUCAACUUGUGACGCUAGAAGAGAGGAGAUGGACUGGUAGUCAUAGCUGGAGAUGAGACACCAGAAGCGAGAGGAUGGACUGGUGGCCGACGUUGUGGUUGUGGCACCAGGAGAGAGGGAACAGACUGGUGGUCGAUAUGAUUAUUGGUAUGAGAUAUGUAUGUUGUUAUUUGAGAUAUUUAUGAUUGAUGAUUUUGUGUUGUGAGGGGUGCGUGUGUAUGUGUGUGUAAUUGAGAUCUGAAGGGCUGUCACCCAUUUUGAUAAUGAUCGGCUAGCUACUUCACUCUGUCUCUCUCUUCCUAGCAAGAGGAAGACAACGGGGUUUCAAAAUCUAGACUGGUAGUCAUAGCUGGAGAUGAUGCACCAGAAACGAGGGGAUGGACUGGUGGCCGACGUUGUGGUUGUGGCACCAGGAGAAAAGGAACAGACUGAUGGCCGAAAUAUGUAUGUUGUGAUUUAAGAUAUUUACGAUUGAUGAUUUUGUGUUGUGAGGUGUGUCUGUGUGUGUAUGACUGAGAUCUGAAGGGUUGUCACCCAUUUCGAUAAUGAUCAACUAGCUAAUUCACUC